GGAGCGGGAGGCAGGCGGCUGAGACGGGCGCGCCAUUUGCAUUCGCCCGCAGUCAUUUUUAUCCGCGGAGGAUUUCAAAGCCCCAAACAGAUCCACCCACUGAGGCGGCUGAGAAAAGGAGUUCGGCAGGUGCAGCGCUGUCAGGAGAUGAGACAAGCUAGACACACACCUGCUCUGAGACAGUGGGCUGACAUGGGGGCAGCCUUGUCCGGUGGGACCGUCUAAGAUGAUGGGAGUGUCCAGUACGGCAGCCACGAGCCACGUGUGGCCAGUGAGCACUUGAAAUGUGCCAGCGUGACUAAGGAAGCAUUGUGUUAGAGAGCUUCAUUCCCCACAACGUACCCACCCAGAUGCAGUGCUUCCUGGAAUGAACCAUGGUCUCCGUUUUUAUUCAAGUGAAAAUGGAUUGAAUGGGAAAACGAAAUAGGCAUGAAGCUGCCGGCCCUGAGGUCUCUGCUUGGAGAGAGUAUCUGAAUAACUGGGAGCAAGUGGGUUUCCAUAGACUUUACAUCAAAAUUCGCUUUUAAAUUUAAAUACCUUUUACGAUCAAGGACUCCGACAUGAGGCUGAAUUGCCACCAUAAAGACUGCAAUUUUCUGAAGCAGCCCUCUCCACGGACAAGUUAUGGGGCUGUCCAAGGCACCAGGGGGAGAUAUUUUACAAAAGCCAAGAGAGCGGGUUUGUCAACAUCCCUAAAGCUUUAUAUGGGCCUCAUUGGUUCCAAUAAGAGGCUUGUCUGCCAGGCAUCCCUAAAUUCCUUAUGUGAGCAGAGACGAGCUCAGGAGUGCUCCCUGAGGAUGUGGCUGGCCCAUCAGCACUGAAACAGGUCUGACUUUGAACUGAUUAAAAGGGGGAAGAAUUGAAACAAAUGUUACCCUGAGACAAACAUCAGAAUCACCAGGCUUCUCAUGGAUUAUAGACCUCAGGGAGGAGUCAGCUCUCAGAGGGAGUUGACAUUGGUCCAGCCAUCAGAGAACGACAGCCUGUGCAAAGUACCGUGACCAACCCGCAGAGCUGUAUGUGGCUCCCUGGUGCCCAGGUCUAUAGACGUUUGUCUGCAUAGGCUCCCGGACCCAAAGACCGAAGUUAACAUCAUGAGGAUUGGAGUUCCCUUCGUGGCUCAUAGGUUAACAAACCUGAUUAGUAUCAUGCGGUGGGUUCCAUCCCUGGCCUUGCUCAGUGGGUUAAGGAUCCGCCCUUGCCAUGAGCUGUGGUGUGGGUCGCAGAUGCAGCUCAGAUCCUGAGUUGCUGUGACUGUGGCGUAGGCUGGCAGCUAUAGCUCCAAUUCGACGCCUAGCCUGGGAACCUCCAUAUGCUGUGAGUGCAGCCCUAAAAAGACAAAAUAAAUAAAAUAAAAUAAGAUGCUCCUUUAAAAAAUAAAAAUAAUCUCCAAAAUUUAUAAACAACUUCUGCAGCUCCAUACCAAAAAAACAAACAACCCCAUCAAAAAAUGGGCAGUAGAUCUAAACAGACAAUUCUCCAAAGAAGACGUACAGAUGGCCAAGAAACACAUGAAAAGAUGUUCAGCGUCACUCAUUAUUAGAGAGAUGCAAAUCAAAACCAUGAUGAGGUACCACCUUACACCAGCCAGAAUGGCCAGCAUCCAAAAGUCUACAAAUAAUAAGUGCUGGAGAGGGUGUGGAGAAAAAGGAACCCUNNNNNNNNNNNNNNNNNNNNNNNNNNAACAUAGAACUACCAUUUGAUCCAGCAAUCCCACUCCUGGGCAUCUAUCCAGAGAAAACCACGACUCGCAAAGACACAUGUACUCCGAUGUUCAUUACAGCACUAUUUACAAUAGCCAAGACAUGGAAACAACCUAAAUGUCCAUCGAAAGAGGAGUGGAUCCAGAAGAUGUACAUAUACACAAUGGAGUAUUACUCAGCUAUCAAAAAGAAUGAAAUACCAGCAUUUUUAGCAACAUGGAUGGACCUAGAAACUAUCAUGCUAAGUGAAGUCAGCCAUACAAUGAGACACCAACAUCAAAUGCUUUCACUGACAUGUGGAAUCUGAAAAAAAGACAGACGGAACUUCUUUGCAGAACAGAUGCUGACUCACAGACAUUGAAAAACUUAUGUUCUCCGGAGGAGACAGUUUGGGGGGUGGGGGUAUGUGCUUGGGCUGUGGGAUGGAAAUCCUGUGAAAUCAGAUUGUUAUGAUCAUUAUACAACUACAGAUGUGAUAAAUUCAUUUGAGUCAUAAAAAAAUGAAAAAAUAAAUAAAUAAAAUCAUGAGGAUUAA
RNAcentral lists this long non-coding RNA (2238 nucleotides) under Sus scrofa (pig). RNAcentral's name for it is "lncRNA (ENSSSCG00040002602.1)". The record is from RNAcentral. Lineage: Eukaryota; Metazoa; Chordata; Mammalia; Artiodactyla; Suidae.